This 425-nucleotide long non-coding RNA is filed under the name Apteryx owenii (little spotted kiwi). Its description in RNAcentral is "lncRNA (ENSAOWG00000010188.1)". The record is from RNAcentral. Lineage: Eukaryota; Metazoa; Chordata; Aves; Apterygiformes; Apterygidae.
CACGGGAGCAGCGUCCUGGGGGGUUGUCACCACGUUCUCUACUGGCACGCUGCAGAAUUAGGGGGUAGGCUUGUUUUUUGACGUAUGCCAUAAUCCUUUAGCAGAAACAAGGCCAAGCGUGAACCACAUAAUUUGCCACUUUUGCAGUCUUGGAGAGCAGUUCAGCAAUAUCUUCGGUCCCUUCUCCUCUGCUGCAUCCACGGGAGUAACUGCCUAUGCCAUCUGCAUUAUCAGACAGCCACCAAACAGCCCCACAAGGAAGAAUGUUGGUCAGAGCAUUUCUAGAGGCUGUGGUUGCCGUGGAAAGAAGGACAAGCAAGUGGAUUUAUUUUUUUAAUUGGAUUUUAAUGCCUCCAGACCUCCUUAAAUUACUUCUCUGGAAAAGCAAUGCCAACUACUCAAAGCCUAUUCACUUGAAUGGAUAA